RNAcentral lists this ribosomal RNA (231 nucleotides) under uncultured bacterium. Its description in RNAcentral is "partial 16S ribosomal RNA". It matches the Rfam family "Bacterial small subunit ribosomal RNA", at positions 15 to 248 of the family's 1533-position model. The record is from RNAcentral.
GAUCAUGGCUCAGAUUGAACGCUGGCGGCAUGCCUUACACAUGCAAGUCGAACGGUAACAGGUCUUUCGGGAUGCUGACGAGUGGCGAACGGGUGAGUAAUACAUCGGAACGUGCCUAGUAGUGGGGGAUAACUACUCGAAAGAGUGGCUAAUACCGCAUGAGAUCUAUGGAUGAAAGCAGGGGACCUUUGGGCCUUGUGCUACUAGAGCGGCCGAUGGCAGAUUAGGUAG